UACGUAGGGGGCGAGCGUUGUCCGGAUUCAUUGGGCGUAAAGAGCUCGUAGGCGGCUUGGCAAGUCGGGUGUGAAAACUCCAGGCUCAACCUGGAGACGCCACCCGAUACUGCCAUGGCUUGAGUCCGGUAGGGGACCACGGAAUUCCUGGUGUAGCGGUGAAAUGCGCAGAUAUCAGGAGGAACACCAGUGGCGAAGGCGGUGGUCUGGGCCGGUACUGACGCUGAGGAGCGAAAGCGUGGGGAGCGAACAGG
Molecule: ribosomal RNA, 254 nt
Filed under: uncultured bacterium
Lineage: Bacteria
Description: partial 16S ribosomal RNA
Rfam family: Bacterial small subunit ribosomal RNA
Source: RNAcentral